This is a long non-coding RNA of Cornus florida, 678 nucleotides long. RefSeq lists it as uncharacterized. The transcript has 2 exons. Lineage: Eukaryota; Viridiplantae; Streptophyta; Magnoliopsida; Cornales; Cornaceae. The record is from RefSeq and is a predicted model, not a curated record.
GUUUCUACGCCAAAGUCUUUCCAAGUGAUCGCCCCCAUACACACACACACACACACACACACACACACACACAUAUAUAUAUGUCAUACAUUGGUUAUAUAUAUAUAUAUCAUCAUCAUCAUCAUCAUCAUCAAGCAAAAAGUGGUAUACUACUAUAACUUCCUUUGUUCAGUCCUUCGUUGGUGCCAUACAAAUAUAUAUAUACAUAUAUUAGAAUGAGAAACAAAACUUGUUCCACCUAUUCUUGUCUCACCAUAUGUUGUUUAUUCAUGAUUUGGCUCAUCAUGGUUUCACCUGUACUCUCUGCGCGGAAAUUAUCCACCACUCCCAGCAGCCACGGAGAGAGUCAUAUUCCUGCAGGCAAAAACCAUCAUGACCAUGCCGAAUCUGCUAUACCAUCAGGACCAAAAGUGUCAAAAUCACCUACCAGAAGUACUAAAGUUGCAAGCCAAACCACUGUGGGGCCGUCCUGUGGACGAGGGAAAUCAUAUGGGACUUGCCAACCAGGAAAAAACGUCGUUAGACGCUGUCCGCCGUUUCAAAAGUGCGGACUGGGAAACUGAAACAAGCAAAGCAACUAGUUCAAAUGUAUGUGGUGGAGAUAUAUAUAUAUAUAUAUAUUAGUGGUUCUUUGUAAUAUUUCACAUCCUAAUAAAAAGUUACUCCUUAUGUGUUGCU